This 2548-nucleotide long non-coding RNA is filed under the name Daucus carota (carrot). Its description in RNAcentral is "long non-coding RNA (DCAR_LNC000867)". Lineage: Eukaryota; Viridiplantae; Streptophyta; Magnoliopsida; Apiales; Apiaceae. The record is from RNAcentral.
UCCGAUUCCCGUUAACUUAACCGGGCUCAUUAAUCAUGAAGCAAACUUCUCUUAUCAUCUCCUGGUACAUAUGUUACCAUCUCGUGAUCUCUUUCGACUUCAAAUUGAUUUCAGUUCGACUUCAGUUAUAUAUUCUGGAUACUUUGACCACUGCAAAGAAUGCAAGUAGAUUAGAGUUGACAUGUCAAGCAUAAAAAAUAACUCAGUUGUAAUCCUCUGAAACUUUUUACAGUCACAACAUAGAGUAUAAGAAGCUACAUUGCGUGUUUCCAGAAGAACAGAACCAAAUAAUAGCGGAAACGGUUUUUAAGAAAACAGAACGGCAAGAGUAAUAGGAAAGUACAUGAAAGCACACCACACUAUUAGCAAGUGCACAUGGUAGAUUGCCCCGCUCCAUUCACCCUACAAAAAAUUACAAAGGCAUGACAUUCAGCCCCUAGAUCAAUCCAUAGAGAUUAAUGAUUACACAUACGAGCUAGCCUGGAAAAACAUUUGCCAUGAACCAUGAAAAAUGACUUGAACUUCAGAUGUUCGACUAGAUAUGGGAUGCGCUGAUAUUGACUAUUUACCUAGCUUCUGUGCCCCAUAGUCGUGGAAAGAAAAGUUCUAUCAGCGCACAGAAGGUGAAGUUCUAUGUUUGCCAAAUAGCUAUAGGUGCAGAAGAUAAGUCAUGGGUUUAUGUUUGCACUACUUAGGUGCUAAUAAGAUCUCAUUUUCUGAUAGCUAAAGAUAUAUCUUCUAGUGAUUAGUAGCCGCAUACGGUUUAUACAAGAUUUAUGAGUCCUAGCAGAAUGAACAGCUGGGAGAUCACUUUGCUUCUAAUGGUCAAGGGCAGUCAUAAUUCCUGAACCAGCUCCAUGGAAAAAGACAUUAAUUAUGAUAUCCGAAGUUUUACAUGCAGCAGGCACACUUGGAUGAUUUGUAAAUAUUGAUCAGAAUUUAUUCUCAGAUUAUUUCGACAUUUUUGUGUUCUUAGAUUAGGGGUGAUGGCAAAAUAAUGCUCCUACAGUGUCAUAGACUUAUAGUUGAUGAAAAUAUUUAUAUUACUAUGACACUUGCCUCACAAGUAGAUCAAAGGCUUUAGUUGGGUUACCUUGACUCUCCCAUAAUCACACCAAUGUACCUUUUCCAGAUUCGACCCAUGUAAGUAUCGAUUUUACUCUUCACAGCCCUGAAUUUCUGGUUAUGAUGAUGCAAUCCAAUUUUUGUCAUCUGGAGUUGCUUCAAAACGACUAAAAAAUUCGAUUUCAUUGUCCCAGUUAACUUCAGAUAUUGCUUCUCAACUACAAACCAAAAAGAACGUACCUGUAGAGUAAUGAGUAAUUAAAAAGCAUGACCAAUUUGUACAAGAAAGAACCAAAGCUCAUAUGUAUCUCAAUGUCCGCAUCAAUCUGAAUAUCAGUGUUGACAAGUUACAUGUGCAGACACAAUCAGAGACAAUAAAAUUAAAAGGCAUAACUAGUCCAGACACCAAGAGCCUGCAUUUUAAUGAUGAAAGAAAACAUAUUUGAGCUCUAAAAAGAUUGUAUCUUAGAAAAUUAGAUAUCAACUGAAAGUGCAAGUGAAGCUGAUGCUUGAAAAAGAAUCCAAGUACGGGGCCUGCUGGCCUAAUGGUUGGUCAUUGGUGUUACAGUCAACAAUUUAAAUGAAAAGUAACAAUGAGGCUUAAGCCGGAAACAUUUCAUUAAGUAUAGAUCAACUUUUUAUUAUUAUAAGCAUAUAAUAUAUGAUAUAUAAAAAGACUUCAGGGGCAUAAAUAAAUGUGAAAAUGUAAUCGAGAGCAUCAAACGGCUAACAUCCAACACAGAGAAAAAUACAAGCUUUACACAUCCCUGCUAAUAUCACUUUAAAACAUACAAGCCAAAAGGUCCACAAACUACUUGUACUGGUUGUAGACCUUAUGAGAGUAGAGCUAUAGCAAUUAAACAGUCAUUUCCAUAUAUCAGAUAUAUAUCAAGAUUGAACUUAAAAUAGAUAUGAACAUAAGACAUACCAGGAAGGAUGGCUGUAAGCGCAACAUCAGCAUGUAGCUUUUCUCCAGUAGUUGGCCUUUAUUUAAUCCCGUAAACACAUGCCCAUUGAGGACCUGAUGGUGGGAGAGAAAUUACAGUAUCCACCUUUGUUUCCCUAAUGUUCACACCAUGCAAAGAAGACCUCUCAUCAAACAACCUGAAAUAUCUUUAAGAGUAUUUUUUUCGGUAGGUGCGCAUCCUUUUCUUUGACUCUAGAACGCAUACGAGAGGAAUGAGAUGGAACAUAUAUUGCUGGACCUCCUGACCUAUAUAUCUCUAGCAAGUGGCUGUGAUGGUACACACAAAGGUUCAGGAUUUCUUAUAUCUUGUGACGCACUUCAUCUGCCAUGUCUUUUGGCUUUCUGAGUUCACCAACAACUAAGGCAGGGUUACAAUAUGUCCAAGAUAACAAAACAUGAUUAUCUUGGUGCUUUAAUUGCAACCUUCUUAAAAGAGGGGCCGGGCUCAUCAUGCAAUUGUGUUUCUUGCUCUAAAUUUUUAUCAUCUUGCUCAAAACAAUGUAAAUGUGAAAGUAU